CUGAGCCGAAGUCAGAUGACCAACCAACGGAGCCACCCAGGCGCCCCAUAGAGUUUUAAUUUAAAAAUAUAUACAGUUAUUAAAUUUUCCACACGAGAUCUUUAUUGAACAAUUACAAUGGCCAGUUAACAUUAAUGACUCUAUUUUGACCUAAUAUCUUAAAACACCUUUGCUUUGAAAGCGAAAGCAUGAAAAAGAGCUGAAAGGAGAAAUGAUGUAAUUAGCAUUUUCAGGACAAUACCUGUUUGAGUCAUUCAACCAGGUGCACCGGCGAUGUGCAUAUAAUUGUAUGUCCAAUCUAACUUGAAGGACCUUCUAGAAAGAGAGGUAGGUGUCAGAAAUAGAGACCAGAGCUGCUGUGUGAAAUCAGCCAUUUGCCAUUCUACUCUGAUUAGGGCUUCUUGCUUGACCAGUAAUGAGUAGAAACUGAAUUACAGACUUUGGCCUUUUCUGCGGGCUCCCGUUAUGCCAAAAAGCAGCUGAUUUAUCCGUGAGAUCUGUGUACUAAAUGAAAUGGCCCAGAUAAACAGAUGGCCUGGCCACGGUGGUAUUUCACAGCAACAUGUGCUUGUUUGAAUAACAUGGUCAUAAACCUUUCACUCUGGGUCUAAAAUUAAAUUGUGGCUUUUGGAUCUUACCUGGGGCUACUCAACAGAAAGCAGAUUCAAAUGUCAAAUUUAUGGCUUGGUUUCCUCAGUAAGUUCUACAUAAUUUUCUACAUUCAUUUGUAAGAAGAACUUAAAACGUGUAUCUUUCGAGUGUGUGUGUGUUGGGGGACAUUGUACCUACAGAUCCAAACCCGACAAUUCUGAUUUUCGACAAAACCAAUUACUGCGUAGGGUUUUUGUUUUGUUUUGUUUUGCCUUAUCAAAUGAAAAAUAUGCUUCGCUGCCAUUCUGAACCUGAAGUUUUACAUUCUGACACAAUAGCCCGCCAAGACUCUGGGAUCCACUCUGCUAUAAUAUAGUGACUGAUUGUCUCUGUAUCUUAAAAAAGUAGGGAAAGAAGCACUCUGUUUCUAUAGCAUUCUGCUCUAAAUGCUAAUCUGAUGUGGUAUCUAUGACUCUUAACAUCAGUCCUCACAGGAGAGCCAAGGAUGAUGUUGGUGGUGUGGAUACUUCCCCUUAUCAAUGGUGAAAUAGCAUGAAUUGAGAGAGGAAACAGCAAAGCAGUUCAGGACCAUUUUCUUCUCAUCGCUCAGAUGUACAAAGAAUAAAUAAGACUGACGUUUUUGCUUUGUUAAAAUCAUGAAUUAUUAUUUGAGAUAGUCUAAUAAACCUCAUCCUAUUCUUUGUGUUUAUCCAGCCGCUACCCCCAAGAAUAAAAGAAAUUGCCAUUAUUGUUAGAAUAGUGAAUUGGUAUUAUGGAGAUUAUGUUCCCUUCUCUCUUUACUAUUAUAAUUUUUAAUAACAUUUAUUUUGAGGUAAUUAUAAAUUCACAUGCAGUUGAAAGAAACAAUAUAGAGGGUUUUCUGUGUACCCUUCACCUAGUUUCUCCCAGCAGUAAAAUCUUGAAACAACUAUAGUACAAUGUCACAAACAAGAAAUUAACAUUGAUAUAAUUCGGGCCUUAUUCAGAUUCCAGUUCGAAAUGUACUCGUUUUUUGUGCAUGCACCUGUGUUUAUGCAUUUAAUUCUAUGCAGUUUUGUCACACGUGUAGAUUCAUGUGACCGACACCACAGUCAAGAUACAAAACAAUUCUGUCAUGAGGAUCCCUUGUACUAUUCUUUUGUGGCCAUAGCCUCCUCCCUCCGUUGUCCUCUCCCUAACCCCUUCUAACCACUAAUCUGUUCUCCAUCCUUCUACACAUGUCAUUUCAAGAAUUCUAUAUAAAUGGAAUCAUACAGUAUGUAACCUUUUGAGAUUGGCUUUUUAACUCAGAAUAAUCCCCCUGAGAUCUAUCCAAGUUGUAGUUCAUAACAUAAAUGUACCACGGUUUAUUUAGUCAUUCACUCCAUUCAAGGCUAAACGGUCAAAAAACCUGUGCUUUUUCUCCCCCCAAUUUUGGCCUAUUACAAAUAUGAACAUCUGUGUAUAGGUUUGGGGGGGGAACGUAAGUUUCAUUUCUCUGGGAUAAAUGCCCAGGAGUGCAAUUGUUGAAUUUUAUGGUAAACGCUUAUUUAGUUUUAUAAGAAACUUCGCUACUCGUUUCUAGAUUGGCUGCACUAUUUUAUAUUCCCAGCAGCAACACAUUAGAUUGUUCCGUAACAAUAAAAUCACGUUCCACACACCUUUGAGAGCCCAGGCCAAUUCAAGUUCUCCGUGACAUCUCUCCCUCAUCAUUUCCGGCUAUGCUUACCCCUCUCUUACAUCUUGUAAUAUUUUGAACCAUUCACUAAUAUUGGUAGACUUUCAAUAUUUAAAUAUUUCUUAUUUUAAAGCCUCCCCAUUCUAACUACACUGUAAACUCGCCAAGCCCUAGGAUCAUUAUUUUCCCUUGCUAUUCCCCCUGCUGAGUCUGACACAAUAAUUAGUAAUCAGAAAAUAGGUGUUGAAUGAUUAAAGUUGAAUACAUAAGAAGUAAUAGGAGUCAAUUAAAUGUGUUGUAGUUUUCAAAAAAUUUACCAACUUUCUCUUUAUCAGACUUAGCUAAAUUCUAGAACCAUGGUUAUUAAGCGAAUUGCUACAGAUACAGCACACUUAAAUGUGUGACUAUUCUAUUUUGUUCCCCAAAUAAUCUUGAUACCUUUUCUAGGAAGAUGUUACACCAUUAGUGAAAUAGCAAAAUAUUAUAUCAAUUUUUGCUUAAAGUGGUUUAAAUUACGUCUUUUCUCCAGGUGUUUCUUACCUCGUCAUCCUAGCAUUAGUUCACAGAAGAGCAAUGAUGUGUUGGUAAAUGUUUAAUGACCAGCUCUCCGGAAGGAAAAAGAAAAUGCCCUCGGGUGUAGCUUUUGCCACUGAGUAAAUACUCUGACCGAGGCCAAUUUCAAGCUACCAUUUUGAUGUCACUGAACACGAUUUAGGGAGAGAUGCCUACAGGAAGAUCCAGUGAGCCAGUAUGAACUAGCCCCAGCAUUCCAGUGCUAGGGGUAUAUUAAAUGCAACUAAUGGAAAAUGUUCUACAAUAUAUAUCAACGUUCAAAUGCGUCACAUGCACUCAAACAAUGAGACUUUUUAAAUGGUUUCAGUCUCCAAAAUCUCUUUGCUCACCAGCAACCGCUAGUGUUUAAUGCUUUCCCAGAAGUAGCCCGUUCUACCCGCCCCCACCCCCCAGCUGAUUUCUAUUCAUCCCUUUUGUCUGUGCUCAGAGGCCUUUUUCUUAGUUCCCACUGACCACUCCCUCUCCCUCACACAACCAGCUUAACACCCGACCACAUAUCAUAAUUUCUCAUCACGGUUUUACUUUGCCUUCAGGGUACCAUGCACGAUUUAUGGAUAUAUAUUUUUGUUUCUAUAAUGUCUGAAACCCUCACUAAACUAGAUACCACAGGAAGGCUGGGACUGUGUCCCCAGCAGCACCAUGAAUGAAUGGGUGGGUCCGUUGCCUUGACUGAGAAUUCCUGCUCAGCAAUACCUCACAGGUUUCACCUCCUUCUGCCCUGGGGUGGCCCCUCCUCUGCUCUAGGCCCAUAACUCUUCAGUGGUUAAGAUGUAACAGAGCAAAAGAAGCUAUUGUGUUUCCAGCCAUUUGCAUCUGUUGAAGAAGGUCAUUGAAUGGACGUGACCGCAGGUUGACCCUCAACUCCAGAGCUGGUCUGGGGCAAUCGGAGGCUCCUCCCCUGGCCCAUCCAUGGAGUCCUCGUUCUGCAGAUUCUGCCCCCCAGUUCCAAAGCCGGAGCCAUUUUCAGGGAUACAGACGUGAGAGAGCAAAGCGCUGCUGAGACAACCUGGACGAGCGAGACGCUUGACUGAAGCCAGGAUUAAUGCUUAGAAUGUCAGCAAAUUCAACCCAUCACCCCUCUGAAUACAUUCAUCUUCCUACCAGGGUAGCAAGAGUGGAGAGAUUUCUUGAUGCAAAAUGCCUGAAGUCCUGCUAUUGCAUUAGCCUUUAUGGUUGGGAAUUGGACGAUUCACCAGAAGCACCGAGGGAUCAAAGCAGAAGGUGAAUGCCCCGAGUCUGAGAGAGCGUCGGACGCAUGAGGAGAAGCAAAGGCAAGUUUUCUGUGAAUGCCAAGUGCACGUUCCCCUGGGUAGAAGGGAGGACAGCUGUUAGGUUGCUCCCUGAUGGAGUUAAUCUUGACAAGCUUUUUGGCAGUUGUUUCAUCUUUAUGAUACCAUAAGAUAAAAAUAGUAAUCUCUGUUAGAGCUUUACGGUUUUUUAAAUGCUUCAAAUUACAUGACUUUUAAUAGCCUAUGCUCACAAUCACCCUGGGAGUUAAUGCAUUUUUAUUGUCUGGGCUGAUCUGGGACAAGUCACAGUCCCCUCCACUUUGUUCCUAGCCAUCACCACUUCGUGUGAUCCUGACCCUAUUGUUCCCUCCAUUAAGGCCUGACUUGUCUCUGACCCUUGCCUCUGACUCCCAUUUACUGGUCUGCCUUUGCUCUUUGAACUUUUCAAAAUGCUCAUGGGUGCACAGCCGGACUCCAAGUCCUCCAAAUACUUGAGGCGACUUAUCCAGUACUUUCCACUUUUUACCACCAGCCAAGUCCCCCCAUUCUUCCUAUCCCUCACCCAGGUAAUUCUCUUCUUUACCCAUCCAGUGGGUGAGAAAUAAACCCGAUUUCCUGAUUGCCUAGUAUUCUAGCUGGGCCCACUUUUUAGACAAGGAAACUGAAGCUGAGAGAAGUUUCCUUGACUAAGAAGAUCACAUGUCUCAUAAAUGCUUGAAUUAUAACCCAAAUUCAAGCUACCUCUAAUUAUCAAUAGGCUAUACAUUAGCCACCCUUUUUAUACUCUCCAAUCAUAUAUCACUCAACAGCAAAUGCUUUUUCAAGGUAAAUUAACUGUCUUUCCUCUAAAAAUGUCAAGACAGGGGCUGCCUCGUAUCUCUUAAUUUUGCAAGUUUAGUGGCAGGACCAUGCACGGGCUGGGUUGCUUUGGCUUAGUGUAAGUUAUAUCAGAUAGGGAUAACAUCAGACAAAUCCAGACAGAAUUAUGUAGUAAACCUACAGCCACAGUUAGGGAGGUUUGUAUGCUCACAUGUGUGCAUGUAUGUGUAGCUUGGAGGGGAAGUUCAGAAGCAGUGGUCAGGGAUCCAGUGAAGAACAUGGCCGAGGGUCUCGUCAUGGAGGGUCUGUAUGUAAUAUUAAGAAAUUUACAUCUUAAAGACGUGAAGACUUGAAUGAGACUUAAAGCGAUUUUCAGCAAAAGAGUAAUAGAAUCACAUUUAUGGUGUUUAUAUUGCAUUUUAUGCCUUCGCACUUGUAUGUACCAUGUAUAUACUCCCAACAGACUUAAAGACAUAAACAAAAUGGUCAAAGUCCUGAGGGGAUUCUCAAACCAUAAGCACAGCCAACAGGAUCAUCUUUCAUCAAGCAAAUUAAUUCCAGCAUCCCUGUUUAUAUCUUCUUGAUGAUUUAUAAAUUUCAUACAAAACAAAGAUUAAAUUAAAUUAUGUGCAAAAACAUAUUUUAAAUCAGAUAUCAACUCCAGAGUUAUGGAACUAUUUUCCAUUUCAUUUUAGAAUACAAUUGCAGAAAACAUAUUGUGUAUUAUAUACCAUUUAAUGAAUUUAAUUUCCAUUAAUAAUAGUACCUUUUUGGAGAUGUCCUUGGCUGACCUCUCUUGGUUUCCCAAAAACAGAAAGAUAGAUAAC
Felis catus (domestic cat) is the source of this 5696-nucleotide long non-coding RNA. RefSeq lists it as uncharacterized. The record is from RefSeq and is a predicted model, not a curated record. Lineage: Eukaryota; Metazoa; Chordata; Mammalia; Carnivora; Felidae. The transcript has 3 exons.